AACAGGUUUGAGCACCUUGGACCGUGUGAGAAAAUGCAGUUCAAGAAAGGGUCAGUACCGACCCUUCGCGCGAUUACCACCCCUAUCGAGUAGACGAUUAAGGACGGUCGAGGUCCAUCGGGCUACUAUUGAUACCCUUUUUUCACUUUGUCCAUUUUUCGUAACCUGAUUUUCGAGUUUUGUUAGUUGUAUUCGAUUUUUCGGUUACUUUAGCGAUCGUCGCAGUUGAUAUGGUCAGUCCGAUCUUUGAUUUCGUGGUUGUAACACCGUGGUUUUGGCUGGAGUCCAAAUCAAGACCAUCAUGAGUUUUUAAAAAGCCUAAGAUGUCGUGAAAAAGUUACAAGUUUGGAUGAAGAUUUCAAGAAAAAACCAAUUCCGGAAUUUCACUCUAACCAAAUCCAAUCAUGCCACGGUGUUAUAGGGUCGGACUCAACCAAAAUUCUUUUGGAGUAUUAUUAUAUCGAUCUUUCGAGCACUAAAAUGUACAAACUCCAUGUUUAAAUGAUAUUAGUUUGAAUGACACCUGAAAAAACCAUUUUCGACAGGAAUUCCCAUCAGAUCAGAAUUACACGGAGUUGACGAAAUUCUAAAAGACGUUUUGCUGAGUAAACACAUUAUAAAGAAAAAUAUCCCACCAUUUAAGGACAAUAUACCACACCAACAUCACUUGAAGGAAGCAGGAUCAAUUUGAUACCAAAAAAAUAAUAUAUACCAAAGAAAAAUUAAUUAACACUGAAGACCGAAGAAAUGAACAAACUUGGCUAUUAGCAUCCAGAUACUCAAACAUCAUGAAACGGUAUCCCCGAUUCUACUUACCAUCAAAAACAUGCACUUACAGGAUGAGCCAUUAUGAACUAUAACUCACCAUACCAUAAAUGGACACAUUGAGCAACUCUCCAUACUCGGUACUGAGGAAUACAACAACAUCCCC
Harmonia axyridis is the source of this 931-nucleotide long non-coding RNA. RefSeq lists it as uncharacterized. The record is from RefSeq and is a predicted model, not a curated record. NCBI's taxonomy places the organism in Eukaryota, Metazoa, Arthropoda, Insecta, Coleoptera, Coccinellidae. The transcript has 3 exons.